RNAcentral lists this transfer RNA (71 nucleotides) under Schleiferilactobacillus shenzhenensis LY-73. Its description in RNAcentral is "Lactobacillus shenzhenensis LY-73 tRNA-Trp". It matches the Rfam family "tRNA". From Rfam's summary of the family: Transfer RNA (tRNA) molecules are approximately 80 nucleotides in length. Lineage: Bacteria; Bacillati; Bacillota; Bacilli; Lactobacillales; Lactobacillaceae. The record is from RNAcentral.
AGGCUUGUGAUCCAAUGGCAAGAUGACGGUCUCCAAAACCGUUCAUGCAGGUUCAAGUCCUGCCAAGCCUG